CCUACGGGGGGCAGCAGUGGGGGAUAUUGCACAAUGGGGGAACCCUGAUGCAGCGACGCCGCGUGGGUGAAGAAGCGCCUCGGCGCGUAAAGCCCUGUCAGCAAGGAAGAAAAUGACGGUACCUGAAGAAGAAGCCCCGGCUAACUACGUGCCAGCAGCCGCGGUAAUACGGAGGGGGCAAGCGUUAUCCGGAUUUACUGGGUGUAAAGGGGGCGCAGACGGCGAUGCAAGCCAGGAGUGAAAGCCCGGGGCCCAACCCCGGGACUGCUCUUGGAACUGCGUGGCUGGAGUGCAGGAGGGGCAGGCGGAAUUCCUGGUGGAGCGGUGAAAUGCGUAGAUAUCAGGAGGAACACCGGUGGCGAAGGCGGCCUGCUGGACUGCAACUGACGUUGAGGCCCGAAAGCGUGGGGAGCAAACAGGAUUAGAUACCCGUGUAGUC
Molecule: ribosomal RNA, 439 nt
Filed under: uncultured bacterium
Lineage: Bacteria
Description: partial 16S ribosomal RNA
Rfam family: Bacterial small subunit ribosomal RNA
Source: RNAcentral